CCUACGGGUGGCAGCAGUGAGGAAUAUUGGUCAAUGGGCGCGAGCCUGAACCAGCCAAGUAGCGUGAAGGAUGACUGCCCUACGGUUUGUAAACUUCUUUUAUAAAGGAAUAAUUUGAGGCACGUGUGCCUUUAUGUAUGUACUUUAUGAAUAAGGAUCGGCUAACUCCGUUCCAGCAGCCGCGGUAAUACGGAGGAUCCGAGCGUUAUCCGGAUUUAUUUGGUUUAAAGGGAGCGUAGAUGGGUUGUUAAGUAAGUUGUGAAAGUUUGAGGCGCAACCGUGAAAUUGCAAUUGAUACUGGCAGUCAUGAGUACAGUUGAGGUAGGCGGAAUGCGAGGUGUAGCGGUGAAAUGCUUAGAUAUCACGAAGAACUCCGAUUGCGAAGGCAGCUUCCUAAACUGCCACUGACAUUGAUGCUCGAAAGUGUGGGUAUCAAACAGGAUUAGAUACCCUUGUAGUC
This 460-nucleotide ribosomal RNA is filed under the name uncultured bacterium. Its description in RNAcentral is "partial 16S ribosomal RNA". It matches the Rfam family "Bacterial small subunit ribosomal RNA", at positions 338 to 795 of the family's 1533-position model. The record is from RNAcentral.